CCAGACUCCUACGGGAGGCAGCAGUGAGGAAUAUUGGUCAAUGGGCGAGAGCCUGAACCAGCCAAGUCGCGUGAGGGAGUACUGCCCUAUGGGUUGUAAACCUCUUUUGUCGGGGAGCAAAAGCCGGACGUGUCCGGCUGUGAGAGUACCCGAAGAAAAAGCAUCGGCUAACUACGUGCCAGCAGCCGCGGUAAUACGUAGGGGGCAAGCGUUAUCCGGAUUUACUGGGUGUAAAGGGAGCGUAGACGGCGGCGCAAGUCCGGAGUGAAAGCCCGCGGCCCAACCGUGGGACUGCUCUGGAAACUGUGCGGCUUGAGUGCGGGAGGGGCAGGCGGAAUUCCUAGUGUAGCGGUGAAAUGCGUAGAUAUUAGGAGGAACACCGGCGGCGAAGGCGGCCUGCUGGACCGUAACUGACGUUGAGGCCCGAAAGCGUGGGGAGCAAACAGGAUUAGAUACCCCUGUACA
This 465-nucleotide ribosomal RNA is filed under the name uncultured bacterium. RNAcentral's name for it is "bacterial SSU rRNA". It matches the Rfam family "Bacterial small subunit ribosomal RNA", at positions 331 to 794 of the family's 1533-position model. The record is from RNAcentral.